RNAcentral lists this ribosomal RNA (253 nucleotides) under uncultured bacterium. Its description in RNAcentral is "partial 16S ribosomal RNA". It matches the Rfam family "Bacterial small subunit ribosomal RNA", at positions 524 to 776 of the family's 1533-position model. The record is from RNAcentral.
GACAGAGGAUGCAAGCGUUAUCCGGAAUGAUUGGGCGUAAAGAGCUCGUAGGCGGUUUGUCGCGUCUGCCGUGAAAGUCCGAGGCUCAACCUCGGAUCUGCGGUGGGUACGGGCAGACUAGAGUGAUGUAGGGGAGACUGGAAUUCCUGGUGUAGCGGUGAAAUGCGCAGAUAUCAGGAGGAACACCGAUGGCGAAGGCAGGUCUCUGGGCAUUUACUGACGCUGAGGAGCGAAAGCAUGGGGAGCGAACAGG